This 274-nucleotide long non-coding RNA is filed under the name Medicago truncatula (barrel medic). Its description in RNAcentral is "long non-coding RNA (MTRU_LNC004175)". Lineage: Eukaryota; Viridiplantae; Streptophyta; Magnoliopsida; Fabales; Fabaceae. The record is from RNAcentral.
GCCUUUCGAUAUCCAACUGCUUUUGAUACCCUUCUAAGGACUCGGGAGGUAAAGGUAAAGGUAUAGCUGGGACAGUUGAUGUUGCAAUCCUUUGUCGUGGGUAUGGCAUCUUCAAUUUAUUGGCUCGAUCAAUAACCCAUUGGACAUAAACUUCAUGGGCGAUAACCGAUCUCUUUCCUAACUGAUUCUUAUCUUUCUUGACAAUGGAAUACCAAGCUUUCUCGAACUGCACUCUUUGAUUUGCAUCAUCUUUUUUGUAGAGGAAGAAAUCCCU